This 465-nucleotide ribosomal RNA is filed under the name uncultured bacterium. Its description in RNAcentral is "partial 16S ribosomal RNA". It matches the Rfam family "Bacterial small subunit ribosomal RNA", at positions 28 to 507 of the family's 1533-position model. The record is from RNAcentral.
GACGAACGCUGGCGGCGUGCUUAACACAUGCAAGUCGAACGGAAAGGCCCCUUUGGGGGUACUCGAGUGGCGAACGGGUGAGUAACACGUGAGUAACCUGCCCUUGACUUCGGGAUAACUUCAGGAAACUGGGGCUAAUACCGGAUAGGAAUCCUUGCUGCAUGGUGGGGGUUGGAAAGAUUCGGCGGUCUUGGAUGGACUCGCGGCCUAUCAGCUUGUUGGUGGGGUAGUGGCUUACCAAGGCUUUGACGGGUAGCCGGCCUGAGAGGGCGACCGGCCACAUUGGGACUGAGAUACGGCCCAGACUCCUACGGGAGGCAGCAGGGGGGAAGAUUGCACAAUGGGCGGAAGCCUGAUGCAGCAACGCCGCGUGCGGGAUGACGGCCUUCGGGUUGUAAACCGCUUUCAGCAGGGGCGAAGCUUGUGGUGACGGUACCUGCAGAAGAAGCACCGGCUAACUACGUG